Molecule: long non-coding RNA, 767 nt
Filed under: Marmota monax (woodchuck)
Lineage: Eukaryota; Metazoa; Chordata; Mammalia; Rodentia; Sciuridae
Source: RNAcentral
AAAAAUUCCUGUUUGGUUAAAAUUGUCAUGUCAACUUUUAUGAGGUGAUAUUAGAAUGCAAAUGUAACACAGAAGACUGUUGGCAAUGAAGGUGAAUGACUCCAUUUGCAACCAUAAAAUCUGGACUUCUUGCUGAGGGUGAGGACAGAGGUUAAGGAACUAGACGAGUUCAGCCUUCAGCUAAUGUACUUCCAAAAUAGACCUUAAAAAUCUUAUGACUGAUUGGGAAAAAAAAAAUCUGUUCAAUUUUUAAAUAUCACUUUCAAUGAAACACCCAGUUGUACUGGGUGAAUUUGCACUUAGUAUGUCAGGAUUUAAAGACUUUGAAAGGAAUGUUUUAAAGAAGGAAAUGAUGCUCAUUUGGUCAUCAUCCAAAUUCAGCUCAAAAUUAUCAUGGGAGUUGAGUAUAUGUACCCAUCUAGUAGAUGGUAUCCUAUAAGGAAACAUGCAAUCAAAUAUUCUGAAUCUUAACUUUGUUUUCUUCAUGGGAUUUUUGUCAAGUAAUUGGCAUGUAGUUGUGUGUAAAAUUGCAACAUGUUGCAUCUCCCUAUCUGGACAGCUAACAUUUGCUCAAGAGCUCAUUGCAAGAAAUCACUCAGCAAAAAUUUGCAAAAAUUCAAAAGAAUGUUCUUACUUAAAACCUGCCCUCAGUUCAUUGUUAAAUCUAACAGAUAAACAGCCUAUGCUUAAUCACCUAAACUGUUGAUGGACCAAAGUUGAUAUUUCACACCUACUAAAAGACGUGGCCAGUGGUAUGUGUUCUGCAC